ACGGGUGAGUAAUGCUUAUCUAACUUGCCAAUUAGUGGGGGAUAACCAUGGGAAACCAUGGCUAAUACCGCAUUUGUUACUUCGGUAAUGAAAGAGAGUCGCAAGAUUCUCGCUAAUUGAUAGGGAUAAGUCGUAUUAGUUAGUUGGUGGGGUAAUGGCCUACCAAGACCAUGAUGCGUAGCCAGUCUGAGAGGAUGAAUGGCCACAAGGGAACUGAGACACGGUCCCUACUCCUACGGGAGGCAGCAGUGAGGAAUUUUCGGCAAUGGGGGCAACCCUGACCGAGCAAUACUACGUGAAGGAGGAAGGUCUACGGAUUGUAAACUUCUGUUAGCAGGGAAGAAGGGCUGGACGUGAGUUCAGUUUUGACGGUACCUGCAGAGAAAGCCACGACUAACUACGUGCCAGCAGUCGCGGUAAGACGUAGGUGGCGAACGUUAUCCGGAAUUAUUGGGCGUAAAGGGUGCGUAGAUGGUGUAAUAAGUUAUCAGCGGUAAAUCGGGGCUCAACCUCGUGGAAGUCGGUAAUACUGUUAUACUUGAGUGCAGGAGAGGUUAACGGAACUCCAUGUGGAGCGGUAAAAUGCGUAGAUAUAUGGAAGAACACCAAUAACGGCGAAGGCAGUUAACUAUUCUGUUACUGACAUUGAGGCACGAAAGCGUGGGGAGCAAAAAGGAUUAGAUACCCUUGUAGUCCACGCCCUAAACGAUGAGUGCUAGAUAUUGGGAACUUGAUUCUCAGUGUCGCUAGUUAACACGGUAAGCACUCCGCCUGGGUAGUACGGUCGCAAGGCUGAAACUCAAAGGAAUUGACGGGGACUCGCACAAGCAGUGGAGCAUGUGGUUUAAUCCGAUACAACGCGUAGAACCUUACCAAGGCUUGACAUGUUCGGCAAAGUUAUUGAAAGGUAAUGGAGGUUAUCCGGACACAGGUGCUGCAUGGCCGUCGUCAGUUCGUGCCGUGAGGUGUAUGGUUAAGUCCUAUAACGAACGUAACCCUUAGGUUUAGUUGCCAGCAUUCAGUUGGGGACUCUAGACCGACUGCCCGAGUAAUCGGGAGGAAGGAAAGGAUGACGUCUGGUCGUC
Molecule: ribosomal RNA, 1085 nt
Filed under: uncultured bacterium
Lineage: Bacteria
Description: bacterial SSU rRNA
Rfam family: Bacterial small subunit ribosomal RNA
Source: RNAcentral